UACGGGGGGUGCGAGCGUUGUCCGGAAUCACUGGGCGUAAAGGGCGCGUAGGUGGUUUGAUAAGGGUGUGGUGAAAGUCCGGGGCUCAACCCCGGAUCUGCCGUGCCGACUGUCAAACUCGAGGGCUGUAGAGGCAGACGGAAUUCCGGGUGUAGCGGUGAAAUGCGCAGAUAUCAGGAGGAACACCGGUGGCGAAGGCGGGACUCUGGGCCGAUACUGACGCUGAGGAGCGAAAGCGUGGGGAGCAAACAGG
RNAcentral lists this ribosomal RNA (253 nucleotides) under uncultured bacterium. RNAcentral's name for it is "partial 16S ribosomal RNA". It matches the Rfam family "Bacterial small subunit ribosomal RNA", at positions 524 to 776 of the family's 1533-position model. The record is from RNAcentral.